GGACGAACGCUGGCGGCGUGCUUAACACAUGCACGUCGAACGGAAAGGCCCUGCUUUUGUGGGGUGCUCGAGUGGCGAACGGGUGAGUAACACGUGAGUAACCUGCCCUUGACUUUGGGAUAACUUCAGGAAACUGGGGCUAAUACCGGAUAGGAGCUCCUGCUGCAUGGUGGGGGUUGGAAAGUUUCGGCGGUUGGGGAUGGACUCGCGGCUUAUCAGCUUGUUGGUGGGGUAGUGGCUUACCAAGGCUUUGACGGGUAGCCGGCCUGAGAGGGUGACCGGCCACAUUGGGACUGCGGUACGGCCCAGACUGCUACGGGAGGCAGCGGUGGGGAAUAUUGCACAAUGGGCGGGAGCCUGAUGCAGCAACGCCGCGUGCGGGAUGACGGCCUUCGGGUUGUAAACCGCUUUCGCCUGUGACGAAGCGGGAGUGACGGUAAUGGGUAAAGAAGCACCGGCUAACUACGUG
Molecule: ribosomal RNA, 469 nt
Filed under: uncultured bacterium
Lineage: Bacteria
Description: partial 16S ribosomal RNA
Rfam family: Bacterial small subunit ribosomal RNA
Source: RNAcentral